UACGGAGGGUGCAAGCGUUGUCCGGAUUUAUUGGGUUUAAAGGGUGCGUAGGCGGCCCGUUAAGUCAGUGGUGAAAGCCUCCAGCUCAACUGGAGAACUGCCAUUGAUACUGGCGGGCUUGAGUACAGACGAGGUAGGCGGAAUUGAUUGUGUAGCGGUGAAAUGCAUAGAUACAAUCAGGAACACCGAUUGCGUAGGCAGCUUACUAGGCUGUAACUGACGCUGAGGCACGAAAGCGUGGGGAGCGAACAGG
RNAcentral lists this ribosomal RNA (253 nucleotides) under uncultured bacterium. Its description in RNAcentral is "partial 16S ribosomal RNA". It matches the Rfam family "Bacterial small subunit ribosomal RNA", at positions 524 to 776 of the family's 1533-position model. The record is from RNAcentral.